UACACACCGCCCGUCACACCAUGGGAGCGGGUUCUGCCAGAAGUAGUUAGCCUAACCGCAAGGAGGGCGAUUACCACGGCAGGGUGCGUGACUGGGGUG
RNAcentral lists this ribosomal RNA (99 nucleotides) under uncultured bacterium. RNAcentral's name for it is "partial 16S ribosomal RNA". It matches the Rfam family "Bacterial small subunit ribosomal RNA", at positions 1384 to 1482 of the family's 1533-position model. The record is from RNAcentral.